UACGGGGGGAGCAAGCGUUGUUCGGAUUUACUGGGCGUAAAGGGCGCGUAGGCGGCCAGCGCAAGUCAGUUGUGAAAUCUCCGGGCUUAACUCGGAAAGGUCAACUGAUACUGCGCGGCUAGAGUGCGGAAGGGGCAACUGGAAUUCUCGGUGUAGCGGUGAAAUGCGUAGAGAUGGGGGAGAACACUCGUGGCGAAGGCGGCCAGCUAGACCAGUUCUGACACUGAGGCGCGACAGCGUGGGGAGCAAACAGG
Molecule: ribosomal RNA, 254 nt
Filed under: uncultured bacterium
Lineage: Bacteria
Description: partial 16S ribosomal RNA
Rfam family: Bacterial small subunit ribosomal RNA
Source: RNAcentral